GAUGAACGCUGGCGGCGUGCCUAAUACAUGCAAGUCGAGCGAACGGACGCGAAGCUUGCUUCUUUGAUGUUAGCGGCGGACGGGUGAGUAACACGUGGAUAACCCACCUAUAUGACGGGGAUAUUUUCGGGAAUCCGGAGCUAAUACCGGAUAAUAUUCUGAACCGCGGGGUUCAAAAGUGAAAGACGGUCUUGCUGUCACUUCUAGAGGGUUCCGAGCUGCAUGAGCUGGUUGGGAAGGUAACGGCUUACCAAGGCUACGAGGCAUAGCCGACGGGAGAGGCGGGUCGGCCACGCUGGAGCUUGUACGCGGUCCUGGCGCCUACGGGACGCAGCAGUAGGCUAUCGUCGGCAAUGGUCGAAAGCCUGACGGAGCAACGCCGCGUGAGUGAUGACAGUCCUCGGAUCGUAAUGCUCUGUUAUUAGUGAUGAACAGAUGUGUAAGUAGCUGUGCACAUCUUGACGGUACCUGAUCAGAAAGCCACGGCUAACUACGUG
Molecule: ribosomal RNA, 497 nt
Filed under: uncultured bacterium
Lineage: Bacteria
Description: partial 16S ribosomal RNA
Rfam family: Bacterial small subunit ribosomal RNA
Source: RNAcentral